RNAcentral lists this unclassified non-coding RNA (347 nucleotides) under soil metagenome. RNAcentral describes it as "partial contains 5.8S ribosomal RNA, internal transcribed spacer 2, and large subunit ribosomal RNA". The stretch from base 1 to 120 matches the Rfam family "5.8S ribosomal RNA", at positions 35 to 154 of the family's 154-position model. The record is from RNAcentral.
GAUGAAGAACGCAGUAAAAUGCGAUAAGUAAUGUGAAUUGCAGAAUUCAGUGAAUCAUCGAAUCUUUGAACGCACAUUGCGCCCGCUGGUAUUCCGGCGGGCAUGCCUGUUCGAGCGUCAUUUCAACCCUCAAGCCCCCCGGGUUUGGUGUUGGGGAUCGGCUCUGCCUCACGGCGGUGCCGCCCCCGAAAUACAUUGGCGGUCUCGCUGCAGCCUCCAUUGCGUAGUAGCUAACACCUCGCAACUGGAACGCGGCGCGGCCAUGCCGUAAAACCCCAACUUCUGAAUGUUGACCUCGGAUCAGGUAGGAAUACCCGCUGAACUUAAGCAUAUCAAUAAGCGGAGGA